This 253-nucleotide ribosomal RNA is filed under the name uncultured bacterium. RNAcentral describes it as "partial 16S ribosomal RNA". It matches the Rfam family "Bacterial small subunit ribosomal RNA", at positions 524 to 776 of the family's 1533-position model. RNAcentral also lists the same sequence under 1 other name. The record is from RNAcentral.
UACAGAGGUGGCAAGCGUUGUUCGGAAUUACUGGGCGUAAAGGGCGCGUAGGCGGCCAUCUAAGUCAGACGUGAAAUCCCCCGGCUUAACCUGGGAACUGCGUCUGAUACUGGACGGCUUGAGUGCGGGAGAGGGAUGUGGAAUUCCAGGUGUAGCGGUGAAAUGCGUAGAUAUCUGGAGGAACACCGGUGGCGAAGGCGGCAUCCUGGACCGACACUGACGCUGAGGCGCGAAAGCUAGGGUAGCAAACGGG